CACUGCUAUCGGGGUUCGAUUAAGCCAUGCGAGUCGAGAGGGUUCAGACCCUCGGCGCACUGCUCAGUAACACGUGGAUAACCUACCCUGAGGAGGGGGAUAACCCCGGGAAACUGGGGAUAAUACCUCAUAGGUUUCAGAUGCUGGAAUGCUCUGAAACCGAAAUGCUCCGGCGCCUCAGGAUGGAUCUGCGGCCGAUUAGGUUGUUGUUGGGGUAACGGCCCAACAAGCCCGUCAUCGGUACGGGUUGUGAGAGCAAGAGCCCGGAGAUGGAUUCUGAGACACCAAUCCAGGCCCUACGGGGCGCAGCAGGCGCGAAACCUUUACAAUGCGAGCAAUCGUGAUAAGGGAACCCCGAGUGCCUGAAACCAGGCUGUUCAGGUGUUUAAAAAGCACCUGGAGAAAGGGCCGGGCAAGACCGGUGCCAGCCGCCGCGGUAAUACCGGCGGCUCGAGUGGUGGCCGCUAUUAUUGGGCUUAAAGCGUUCGUAGCUGGGUUGUUAAGUCUCUUGGGAAAUCUCACGGCUCAACCGUGAGGCGACUAAGAGAUACUGGCAAUCUU
This 561-nucleotide ribosomal RNA is filed under the name uncultured archaeon. RNAcentral describes it as "bacterial SSU rRNA". It matches the Rfam family "Archaeal small subunit ribosomal RNA", at positions 25 to 594 of the family's 1478-position model. The record is from RNAcentral.